Molecule: ribosomal RNA, 253 nt
Filed under: uncultured bacterium
Lineage: Bacteria
Description: partial 16S ribosomal RNA
Rfam family: Bacterial small subunit ribosomal RNA
Source: RNAcentral
UACGAGGGAUCCUAGCGUUGUUCGGAAUCAUUGGGCGUAAAGGGUGCGUAGGCGGCCAAGUAAGUCAGUUGUGAAAGCCCCGGGCUCAACCCGGGAAGUGCUUCUGAUACUGCUUGGCUUGAGUAUUGGAGAGGUGAGUGGAAUUCCAGGUGUAGUGGUGAAAUACGUAGAUAUCUGGAGGAACACCGGCGGCGAAGGCGGCUCACUGGCCAUAUACUGACGCUGAAGCACGAAAGCGUGGGGAUCAAACAGG